This is a long non-coding RNA of Cercocebus atys (sooty mangabey), 385 nucleotides long. RefSeq lists it as uncharacterized. The record is from RefSeq and is a predicted model, not a curated record. The transcript is spliced from 3 exons. NCBI's taxonomy places the organism in Eukaryota, Metazoa, Chordata, Mammalia, Primates, Cercopithecidae.
UCUGUGUUGAUCUUGCUGGGAGCUGCAGACUGGAGCUGUUCCUACUCAGCCAUCUUGCCCAGGUUCCCCCCAUUCUGCCAAUUUUAAGGGAACACUCACCCUCCCUGGCUUCCAGGCAGCUGGGCUGGCUGGAAUUUGCCCUCUUGCCCCGGCUUCCCCAGUGACUUAUGGGAGGCAGAGGCCCAAUCAAGGUUGUGUCCAGGCACCUAAGGAGUGGGGCAGGGAAGGCCGCUGCUCUGGUAUAACCAAGCCUUAUGGCAUUCCUCUAUCUAGCUGUUCAUCGACAAAUGCUUAAUGAAUACCUUCUCUGGGCCAGAAAGCAGGCUGGAGUCUGUGGAUAUGGCGAAAAGCAAGAGUAGACCCACUUCCUGGUACAGUCUGGGGU